UACGUAGGGUGCGAGCGUUAAUCGGAAUUACUGGGCGUAAAGCGUGCGCAGGCGGUUCGUUAAGUCAGAUGUGAAAGCCCCGAGCUCAACUUGGGAACUGCAUUUGAAACUGGCGGGCUGGAGUGUGGCAGAGGGGGGUGGAAUUCCACGUGUAGCAGUGAAAUGCGUAGAGAUGUGGAGGAACACCGAUGGCGAAGGCAGCCCCCUGGGCCAACACUGACGCUCAGGCACGAAAGCGUGGGGAGCAAACAAG
Molecule: ribosomal RNA, 253 nt
Filed under: uncultured bacterium
Lineage: Bacteria
Description: partial 16S ribosomal RNA
Rfam family: Bacterial small subunit ribosomal RNA
Source: RNAcentral